UCGAGCGGGCGUAGCAAUACGUCAGCGGCAGACGGGUGAGUAACGCGUGGGAACAUACCUUUUGGUUCGGAACAACACAGGGAAACUUGUGCUAAUACCGGAUAAGCCCUUACGGGGAAAGAUUUAUCGCCGAAAGAUUGGCCCGCGUCUGAUUAGCUAGUUGGUGAGGUAACGGCUCACCAAGGCGACGAUCAGUAGCUGGUCUGAGAGGAUGAUCAGCCACAUUGGGACUGAGACACGGCCCAAACUCCUACGGGAGGCAGCAGUGGGGAAUAUUGGACAAUGGGCGCAAGCCUGAUCCAGCCAUGCCGCGUGAGUGAUGAAGGCCCUAGGGUUGUAAAGCUCUUUUGUGCGGGAAGAUAAUGACGGUACCGCAAGAAUAAGCCCCGGCUAACUUCGUGCCAGCAGCCGCG
RNAcentral lists this ribosomal RNA (413 nucleotides) under uncultured soil bacterium. RNAcentral describes it as "bacterial SSU rRNA". It matches the Rfam family "Bacterial small subunit ribosomal RNA", at positions 62 to 519 of the family's 1533-position model. The record is from RNAcentral.